This 484-nucleotide ribosomal RNA is filed under the name uncultured bacterium. RNAcentral describes it as "partial 16S ribosomal RNA". It matches the Rfam family "Bacterial small subunit ribosomal RNA", at positions 29 to 507 of the family's 1533-position model. The record is from RNAcentral.
AUUGAACGCUGGCGGCAUGCUUUACACAUGCAAGUCGAACGGCAGCGCGGGCUUCGGCCUGGCGGCGAGUGGCGAACGGGUGAGUAAUACAUCGGAACGUGCCCAGUAGUGGGGGAUAGCUCGGCGAAAGCCGGAUUAAUACCGCAUACGACCUGAGGGUGAAAGCGGGGGAUCUUCGGACCUCGCGCUAUUGGAGCGGCCGAUGGCAGAUUGGCUAGUUGGUGGGGUAAAGGCCUACCAAGGCGACGAUCUGUAGCUGGUCUGAGAGGACGACCAGCCACACUGGGGCUGAGACACGGCCCAGACUCCUACGGGAGGCAGCAGUGGGGAAUUUUGGACAAUGGGCGAAAGCCUGAUCCAGCAAUGCCGCGUGUGUGAUGAAGGCCUUCGGGUUGUAAAGCACUUUUGGCGGGAACGAAAAGGACUGUGCCAAUACCACGGUUCGAUGACGGUACCCGCAGAAUAAGCACCGGCUAACUACGUG